Bubalus bubalis (water buffalo) is the source of this 444-nucleotide long non-coding RNA. RefSeq lists it as uncharacterized. The transcript has 2 exons. Lineage: Eukaryota; Metazoa; Chordata; Mammalia; Artiodactyla; Bovidae. The record is from RefSeq and is a predicted model, not a curated record.
UCUCACUACUGUAAAAUAUUCAGAAGAUUCAGUGUUUCCCUGUUGCCUUUAGAAUAACAGACAAAAUCCUUCAUGCUUACAGAAACCACAAUCUUCCCCGAACACCUGGAAAGCUUAAACUGGCUAGUCUCCCCAUUCCUGAGAAAGGAUGAUACAGUCCGUCUACUCUGAGUUCUGAAGAUCAAUAUACUUCUCCAUGCUCUUGUUUGAAGAGAAUUUGUCUUGGCUAGGACCCCAUCUGUAGCUCUUGAGGACAGAACUGAAAUGCUCACACUCAUGCUCUGGGCUAUGACUCUCCAUGAAGUUUGCUUCUAGAGAAGAUUUCAGUGCUGCAUUUCCUGGGAAGCCAUCACUUGCUGAACUUCUUCAUUUUGAUGUAAAGACCAUAAUACCCAGGCUAUAAAAAUGUAUAACAUAGCUUAUCUUAAAAAAAAGAAAAUGACU